GUGUCUUGGCAGAACUAAAAGGAAGCAUGGCUUGUGAUCACAGCUCAGUCAUACAAGGAAAGAUUUAGGAUCUCCACAGCCUGAGGAUGGAAAGGUAACAGUGGAAAGGAGGGAUCUCUAUCAUUCUAGCAACUAUGGGAGUCAUCAAAGCCCAAUGUCAAGACAAAAGUCAGGAUGACUGGUGAGGCCCAGGAUGUAGUAGAUAACGUUGGCAUCUGACCAAGUUCUAAACUCUCCAUAGCACCUGCUUCAGCAAUCUUCAUGGCUGUUGGAACAGGGGACUAGAAACUGUAUCAAAAGAGAAACACUUGAAGGAACCAUAGACACUUAACAUGAAGAAAAGAAGACCCUGGGGAUAAAGGAUCAAUACAACGAAUAUAUGGAUGCUCUUGCACUAAAAAAAGAAUAGCAUUACAGUGAUCCCUCACCCAACAGUGAUCCCUCACCUAACACAGGAGCUACGUUCCAGAGACCCUGGUGAAGUUGUGGAUAUGGAUUGGAACUGACAAUUUUAGUGACUGGCAACCUGAUAGCAUCCUCUCAAGACCAUCACUGGCCAAUCACAUCCAUAUGGGAGAACUGUUUGUGUUGUCACCUCCUCCCAGGACAUCUCUCUACCAAUGUACACAUGGAAAAGGGGAAAGAAUGUGGUUGUUCUGAAGAGCUGUGAUUACUUUCUAGGGGGGACCCUCAAGAAAAAAUCCAUAUAAAAAUUAGUAUUGACUACAGUGGAAGGGACUCUCAUGUGAUGUGUAUAGAGGGGAUGGGUGAGCAAUUCUUGACAAUGUGAACAGGAUAGCUGAGGAACCUAGAAAAUUUGGCCAUAGCAUUUUAAGGGCAUAUUCUUUCCUACUAUAUUUGUCUCUCUAUUCUGCCUUUAGUUAAAGAAAAUUAAAAAUUAGAAAAAUUUUGACCACCAGAAAAAGGCCCC
This 931-nucleotide long non-coding RNA is filed under the name Monodelphis domestica (gray short-tailed opossum). RNAcentral describes it as "lncRNA (ENSMODG00000030441.2)". Lineage: Eukaryota; Metazoa; Chordata; Mammalia; Didelphimorphia; Didelphidae. The record is from RNAcentral.